GAGCGGGCAUCGCAAGAUGUCAGCGGCAGACGGGAGAGUAACACGUGGGAACAUGCCCUUCGGUUCGGAACAACCCAGGGAAACUUGGGCUAAUACCGGAUACGUCCGUAAGGAGAAAGAUUUAUCGCUGAAGGAUCGGCCCGCGUCUGAUUAGCUAGUUGGUGAGGUAACGGCUCACCAAGGCGACGAUCAGUAGCUGGUCUGAGAGGAUGAUCAGCCUCACUGGGACUGAGACACGGCCCAGACUCCUACGGGAGGCAGCAGUGGGGAAUAUUGGACAAUGGGCGCAAGCCUGAUCCAGCCAUGCCGCGUGGAUGAUGAAGGCCCUAGGGUUGUAAAGUCCUUUCGGCGGGGAAGAUAAUGACGGUACCCGCAGAAGAAGCCCCGGCUAACUUCGUG
Molecule: ribosomal RNA, 399 nt
Filed under: uncultured bacterium
Lineage: Bacteria
Description: bacterial SSU rRNA
Rfam family: Bacterial small subunit ribosomal RNA
Source: RNAcentral